RNAcentral lists this ribosomal RNA (321 nucleotides) under uncultured bacterium. RNAcentral describes it as "bacterial SSU rRNA". It matches the Rfam family "Bacterial small subunit ribosomal RNA", at positions 28 to 334 of the family's 1533-position model. The record is from RNAcentral.
GAUGAACGCUAGCGACAGGCUUAACACAUGCAAGUCGAGGGGCAGCGGAGGCGAGUGCUUGCACUUGCCAGACGGCGACCGGCGCACGGGUGAGUAACACGUAUGCGACCUGCCCGUAGCAGGGGGAUAAGCGGAAGAAAUUCCGUCUAAUACCGCGUAAUAUCUUUCGGGGGCAUCCCUGAGGGAUUAAAGGAAGCGAUUCCGGCUACGGAUGGGCAUGCGGCGCAUUAGCUAGUCGGCGGGGUAACGGCCCACCGAGGCGACGAUGCGUAGGGGUUCUGAGAGGAAGGUCCCCCACAUUGGAACUGAGACACGGUCCAA